Molecule: ribosomal RNA, 870 nt
Filed under: uncultured archaeon
Lineage: Archaea
Description: bacterial SSU rRNA
Rfam family: Archaeal small subunit ribosomal RNA
Source: RNAcentral
AUUCCGGUUGAUCCUGCCAGAGGUCACUGCUAUCAGUAUUCGAUUAAGCCAUGCGAGUCAAAUGUUCUUCGUGAACAUGGCGUACUGCUCAGUAACACGUGGAUAAUCUGCCCUAAGGUCAGGUAUAACUCCGGGAAACUGGUGAUAAUCCCUGAUAAAUCAUAGAUACUGGAAUGUUCUGUGAUUCAAAGCUCCGGUGCCUUAGGAUGAAUCUGCGGUCUAUCAGGUAGUAGUGGGUGUAGUGUACCUACUAGCCUACGACGGAUACGGGUUGUGAGAGCAAGAGCCCGGAGAUGGAUUCUGAGACAUGAAUCCAGGCCCUACGGGGCGCAGAGGCGCGAAAACUUUACAAUGCGGGAAACCGCGAUAAGGGGAUACUGAGUGCCAGCAUAUUAUGUUGGCUGUCCAUAUGUAUAAAUAGCAUGUGUUAGCAAGGGCCGGGCAAGACCGGUGCCAGCCGCCGCGGUAACACCGGCGGCCCGAGUGGUGGCCACUAUUAUUGGGUCUAAAGGGUCCGUAGCCGGUUUGAUCAGUCUUCCGGGAAAUCUGACAGCUCAAAUGUUAGGCUUCUGGGGGAUACUGUCAGACUUGGGACCGGGAGAGGUAAGAGGUACUACAGGGGUAGGAGUGAAAUCUUGUAAUCCUUGUGGGACCACCAGUGGCGAAGGCGUCUUACCAGAACGGGUCCGACGGUGAGGGACGAAAGCUGGGGGCACGAACCGGAUUAGAUACCCGGGUAGUCCCAGCCGUAAACGAUGCUCGCUAGGUGUCUGGGACGGUGCGACCGUUUCAGGUGCCGCAGGGAAGCCGUGAAGCGAGCCACCUGGGAAGUACGGCCGCAAGGCUGAAACUUAAAGGAAUUGGCGGGGG